GACGAACCGAGCGAACGUUAUUCGGAAUCACUGGGCUUAAAGGGCGCGUAGGCGGGCUGUCAAGUCUGGGGUGAAAUCCCACGGCUCAACCGUGGAACUGCCUUAGAUACUGACGGCCUCGAGGAAGGUAGGGGCAUGCGGAACUGUAGGUGGAGCGGUGAAAUGCGUUGAUAUCUACAGGAACUCCGGUGGCGAAAGCGGCGUGCUGGACCUUUUCUGACGCUGAGGCGCGAAAGCUAGGGGAGCAAACGGG
This 253-nucleotide ribosomal RNA is filed under the name uncultured bacterium. RNAcentral's name for it is "partial 16S ribosomal RNA". It matches the Rfam family "Bacterial small subunit ribosomal RNA", at positions 524 to 776 of the family's 1533-position model. The record is from RNAcentral.